AUUGAACGCUGGCGGAAUGCUUUACACAUGCAAGUCGAACGGCAGCAUAGGUGCUUGCACCUGAUGGCGAGUGGCGAACGGGUGAGUAAUACAUCGGAACGUGCCCAGUUGUGGGGGAUAACGUAGCGAAAGUUACGCUAAUACCGCAUACGAUCUAAGGAUGAAAGCGGGGGACCGUAAGGCCUCGCGCGAUUGGAGCGGGCGAUGUCAGAUUAGGUAGUUGGUGAGGUAAAGGCUCACCAAGCCGACGAUCUGUAGCUGGUCUGAGAGGACGACCAGCCACACUGGGACUGAGACACGGCCCAGACUCCUACGGGAGGCAGCAGUGGGGAAUUUUGGACAAUGCACGCAAGUCUGAUCCAGCCAUUCCGCGUGCAGGACGAAGGCCUUCGGGUUGUAAACUGCUUUUGUACGGAACGAAAAAGCUCUUACUAAUACUAGGAGUCCAUGACGGUACCGUAAGAAUAAGCACCGGCUAACUACGUGCCAGCAGCCGCAGUAA
RNAcentral lists this ribosomal RNA (502 nucleotides) under uncultured bacterium. RNAcentral's name for it is "partial 16S ribosomal RNA". It matches the Rfam family "Bacterial small subunit ribosomal RNA", at positions 30 to 523 of the family's 1533-position model. The record is from RNAcentral.